UGUUGAGGCAAAAUCCCUAAUUAAUUUUAAAGAUAAUAAACUUUAAUGAUUAAGGAUUAAAUGGACUUUGAUUAAUUCCUUGGUAUUUAACUUGUGCUCUUGAGUGUUUUCACUAAGACAGGAACAAGGUCUGAAUCAUACCAAGAUGCAUAAAAUCAAAGGACAUUGAAUCCAUGAACUAAUUCUAAAGUUCAGAAAGUUAGUUCAGAAUGUUGAUCAGA
Molecule: long non-coding RNA, 221 nt
Filed under: Medicago truncatula (barrel medic)
Lineage: Eukaryota; Viridiplantae; Streptophyta; Magnoliopsida; Fabales; Fabaceae
Description: long non-coding RNA (MTRU_LNC004804)
Source: RNAcentral